This 73-nucleotide transfer RNA is filed under the name Ailuropoda melanoleuca (giant panda). It matches the Rfam family "tRNA". From Rfam's summary of the family: Transfer RNA (tRNA) molecules are approximately 80 nucleotides in length. Their secondary structure includes four short double-helical elements and three loops (D, anti-codon, and T loops). The record is from Rfam by way of RNAcentral. Lineage: Eukaryota; Metazoa; Chordata; Mammalia; Carnivora; Ursidae.
ACCUUGCUGGCUCAGUUGGUAGAGCGUGGGACUCUUGAUCUCAGGGUUGUGAGUUCCAAGUCCAUGUUGGGUG